GUUUAGAGCCAUUGGAGAGUAUUUAAUAUACAUUAAAUGCAUCAACAAUGGGCUGAAAACUAGCCAUUGCGAACUCAUCCAGAAUGAGUCAUCCCAUAUGAGUCAUCCCACUAUGACUGAAAAGUCUCAUGGGAUGCCUCAUUUAGCCAAUCUGAAAAUCAGACUUUCUAUUUUGAUCUUAGGAUCUCAGGGAUCGUUCCAAGUGGAUCAUCCCACUACGUACCAUAAGUCAAAACAGUGCGUGCCGGCUACUCAAUGAAAAAGAAUGAUCCAGAUAGAUCGUUCUAUUUUAUUGCAACCUAAUUUUUCAUACAUUUAAGAUUCGAAACUUAUCAAAAUACUUUCAAACACUCUCAAAUGAUGUCAAAUCAAUUGGACACUCUCAAAAAGCCUCGAAACCUUCUCAAACUUAUAGAAACUUCAACUUUGGCCCA
RNAcentral lists this long non-coding RNA (434 nucleotides) under Elaeis guineensis (African oil palm). RNAcentral's name for it is "long non-coding RNA (EGUI_LNC045591)". Lineage: Eukaryota; Viridiplantae; Streptophyta; Magnoliopsida; Arecales; Arecaceae. The record is from RNAcentral.